Molecule: microRNA, 22 nt
Filed under: Ornithorhynchus anatinus (platypus)
Lineage: Eukaryota; Metazoa; Chordata; Mammalia; Monotremata; Ornithorhynchidae
Description: Oan-Mir-1421-P7a_5p (mature (guide))
Source: RNAcentral
UGAGGUGGACACAUGGUGCAGU